RNAcentral lists this ribosomal RNA (1343 nucleotides) under uncultured bacterium. RNAcentral describes it as "16S ribosomal RNA". It matches the Rfam family "Bacterial small subunit ribosomal RNA", at positions 28 to 1378 of the family's 1533-position model. The record is from RNAcentral.
GACGAACGCUGGCGGCGUGCUUAACACAUGCAAGUCGAACGGAAAGGCCCUGCUUUUGUGGGGUGCUCGAGUGGCGAACGGGUGAGUAACACGUGAGUAACCUGCCCUUGACUUUGGGAUAACUUCAGGAAACUGGGGCUAAUACCGGAUAGGAGCUCCUGCUGCAUGGUGGGGGUUGGAAAGUUUCGGCGGUUGGGGAUGGACUCGCGGCUUAUCAGCUUGUUGGUGGGGUAGUGGCUUACCAGGGCUUUGACGGGUAGCCGGCCUGAGAGGGUGACCGGCCACAUUGGGACUGAGAUACGGCCCAGACUCCUACGGGAGGCAGCAGUGGGGAAUAUUGCACAAUGGGCGGAAGCCUGAUGCAGCAACGCCGCGUGCGGGAUGACGGCCUUCGGGUUGUAAACCGCUUUCGCCUGUGACGAAGCGUGAGUGACGGUAAUGGGUAAAGAAGCACCGGCUAACUACGUGCCAGCAGCCGCGGUGAUACGUAGGGUGCGAGCGUUGUCCGGAUUUAUUGGGCGUAAAGGGCUCGUAGGUGGUUGAUCGCGUCGGAAGUGUAAUCUUGGGGCUUAACCCUGAGCGUGCUUUCGAUACGGGUUGACUUGAGGAAGGUAGGGGAGAAUGGAAUUCCUGGUGGAGCGGUGGAAUGCGCAGAUAUCAGGAGGAACACCAGUGGCGAAGGCGGUUCUCUGGGCCUUUCCUGACGCUGAGGAGCGAAAGCGUGGGGAGCGAACAGGCUUAGAUACCCUGGUAGUCCACGCUGUAAACGGUGGGUACUAGGUGUGGGGUCCAUUCCACGGGUUCCGUGCCGUAGCUAACGCUUUAAGUACCCCGCCUGGGGAGUACGGCCGCAAGGCUAAAACUCAAAGGAAUUGACGGGGCCCCGCACAAGCGGCGGAGCAUGCGGAUUAAUUCGAUGCAACGCGUAGAACCUUACCUGGGUUUGACAUGGAUCGGGAGUGCUCAGAGAUGGGUGUGCCUCUUUUGGGGUCGGUUCACAGGUGGUGCAUGCCUGUCGUCAGCUCGUGUCGUGAGAUGUUGGGUUAAGUCCCGCAACGAGCGCAACCCUUGUUCACUGUUGCCAGCACGUUAUGGUGGGGACUCAGUGGAGACCGCCGGGGUCAACUCGGAGGAAGGUGGGGAUGACGUCAAGUCCUCAUGCCCCUUAUGUCCAGGGCUUCACGCAUGCUACAAUGGCUGGUACAGAGAGUGGCGAGCCUGUGAGGGUGAGCGAAUCUCGGAAAGCCGGUCUCAGUUCGGAUUGGGGUCUGCAACUCGACCUCAUGAAGUCGGAGUCGCUAGUAAUCGCAGAUCAGCAACGCUGCGGUGAAUACGUUCCCGGG